AACUCCUAUGUCUUAUUAGGUUGCAUCUGAAUUUUCAUUCUUGCAGUUUCUUAAUUUGUAAUCCAUAUAUGUUCAAGUAUCUAUGUAUCUUAUUCCUAAUAUAUUUCCCUAUUCUAUGUUUCAAGAACCUCAUAUUCCAACAAUACAUUCAAUUUAUUUGUGCGUUGCACUAAGGGCUUGUUUAGAACUAUUCUACUAUGAAGCAACUCAAAAAAAUAUCUAGAGUUUCUUUCAACUUUUGUUAGUACUUAGUAGAGUUGGUUGAGCAUUCCUGUUUGGC
This 280-nucleotide long non-coding RNA is filed under the name Sorghum bicolor (sorghum). RNAcentral's name for it is "long non-coding RNA (SBIC_LNC011811)". The record is from RNAcentral. Lineage: Eukaryota; Viridiplantae; Streptophyta; Magnoliopsida; Poales; Poaceae.